GUGUAGUCGGUGGAAGAUAUGCCAGAUGUGAAGUGUCUUGUGGCUGCUNUUCGAAUCGGCCGUGAGUCCUUUGAAAUGUACAGAACGGACUCUCUUUGUUCAAAAAGCGCGGCGUUGCUGGUUGUGAAGGCUGUCAGUGUGAUUAAUCGGCGACCGGUUUGUCUGCUAUGGCAUCAAUGAAGGAGUGUUCAAUUCGCGGUAUGGUUGGCUUUGGCUAAACAGGCGCUUAUGGAACGUUCUUUCUGCUAUGACAGUAUGAACUGGUGAACCGUAGUCGUACAUGACUUGGCGUUUGAAUCGGCUAUGCUGUGCGAAGUAGAGUGACAGUUUUGGCUGUCGAGGGUCGAUCAAUUUGGGAAAUUGUGCUGUGUGAUUUCGGUCGCGUGGCAUCUCAAUUGGACCUGAUAUCAGGCAAGAUUACCCGCUGAACUUAAGCAUAUCAAUAAGCGGAGGA
This 454-nucleotide ribosomal RNA is filed under the name uncultured Oomycota. RNAcentral describes it as "eukaryotic LSU rRNA". The stretch from base 398 to 454 matches the Rfam family "Eukaryotic large subunit ribosomal RNA", at positions 1 to 57 of the family's 3401-position model. Lineage: Eukaryota; Oomycota. The record is from RNAcentral.